CCUACGGGAGGCAGCAGUGAGGAAUAUUGGUCAAUGGACGGAAGUCUGAACCAGCCAUGCCGCGUGCAGGAAGACGGCGCUAUGAGUUGUAAACUGCUUUUGUACAAGGGUAAACCGGAAUACGUGUAGUCAGCUGAAAGGACUGUACGAAUAAGGAUCGGCUAACUCCGUGCCAGCAGCCGCGGUAAUACGGAGGAUCCAAGCGUUAUCCGGAUUUAUUGGGGUUAAAGGGUGCGUAGGCGGAUGGAUAAGGUAGAGGGGAAAUGUCCGAGCUUAACUCGGGAACUGCCUCUCAUACUGUUGAUCUAGCGCGUAGCUGCGGUAGGCGGCAUGUCUGGUGUAGCGGU
Molecule: ribosomal RNA, 347 nt
Filed under: uncultured bacterium
Lineage: Bacteria
Description: partial 16S ribosomal RNA
Rfam family: Bacterial small subunit ribosomal RNA
Source: RNAcentral